This 68-nucleotide transfer RNA is filed under the name Bahadzia jaraguensis. Its description in RNAcentral is "transfer RNA Phenylalanine". Lineage: Eukaryota; Metazoa; Arthropoda; Malacostraca; Amphipoda; Hadziidae. The record is from RNAcentral.
AUUUAGGUGACUCAUAUUUAGAGUAUUACAUUGAAGAUGUGAAUGAGGAUAAAAAAAUCCCUUAAAUA